This is a long non-coding RNA of Clarias gariepinus (North African catfish), 470 nucleotides long. RefSeq lists it as uncharacterized. The transcript is spliced from 5 exons. Lineage: Eukaryota; Metazoa; Chordata; Actinopteri; Siluriformes; Clariidae. The record is from RefSeq and is a predicted model, not a curated record.
AAGCAGAGUGCACGACUGUUUCCGUGACUACUGAAUGAAUCAGUGAUGAAAAGAAAUCAUUAACUACACUUCUACCACGAAGGUGUCCUACAGCAGCCGUCACAGACUUAUUCUGACAGACUCGUUGUAAUUUUAUAGCUGUAGUGUCCACUGGCACCAGUGCAAACCAGAGCUACUAACAAGAGAAACAUGACAGUGUUUGCUACAGGACUUAUGAUUGGGGAUACUGAAGCAGAGGAUGCAGUUCAAAAAGAAAAAAGAAAGGCCCGCUAUAGACAGGACCUGCUGGAGCAAAUAGCGGAAAAUGACAGAAAAAGGAAAAAGGAAAAGGAACUCAAAUGGAAAGUUGCUGCUACAGGAGCUAUUGACCCGGAGAAAGAGCCUGACAGGAUUAAGCAGUUUGGUUCUGCAAGAAGGGAGCAUGAGGGCAGGAGACAGGAUGCACGCCUUACAAUAAGCACUGGGGUCAG